GACGAACGCUGGCGGCGUGCUUAACACAUGCAAGUCGAACGGAAAGGCCCUGCUUUUGUUGGGUGCUCGAGUGGCGAACGGGUGAGUAACACGUGAGUAACCUGCCCUUGACUUUGUGAUAACUUCAGGAAACUGGGGCUCAUACCGGAUAGGAUCUCCUGCUGCAUGGUGGUGGUUGGAAAGUUUCGGCUGUUGGGGAUCGACUCGCGGCUUAUCAGCUUGUUUGUGGGGUAGUGGCUUACCAAGGCUUUGACGGGUAGCCGGCCUGAGAGGGUGACCGGCCACAUUGGGACUGAGAUACGGCCCAGACUCCUACGGGAGGCAGCAGGGGGGAAUAUUGCACAAUGGGCGGAAGCCUGAUGCAGCAACGCCGCGUGCGGGAUGACGGCCUUCGGGUUGUAAACCGCUUUCGCCUGUGACGAAGCGUGAGUGACGGUAAUGGGUAAAGAAGCACCGGCUAACUACGUG
Molecule: ribosomal RNA, 468 nt
Filed under: uncultured bacterium
Lineage: Bacteria
Description: partial 16S ribosomal RNA
Rfam family: Bacterial small subunit ribosomal RNA
Source: RNAcentral